CAAUCCUUGUUAAGAAUUACACUGUAAGUUAAUUCUCUUAGUACAUUUUUUUUAAAUCUAGUUUUUGCUUCUGAUCAGUUAUCAAAUUUGAUAUAUUUGUAGGCAUGGCCUUAAUGAAUAUUGAAGAAACAAGAGUAGGGUUUAAGGAAAAACUAUUCAUUAUUCAUUUCCAAUGAUGCAUGGGCAUGGACAUGGGAUACAAAGAUUUCUGGAAAAAAUAAAAACACAAUAAGUUAGGGACACAUUAUAAGAAAAUUAUAUAAGAAUAUGCAUUUGAUUAACUUAACAUGUAAAAUAUCUCAUUUUUUGAUAAUUUGCAAAUAUCUAUUUGCAGGCUAAUGAUAGCAAAAUUAAUAAACACAAUUAAUGAAUAAUCUACUUUUCUCUAAUUGAGUUGUUUUUAAGGUUUUUUAGGGUUUAAGAUUCAACUUUUGAUAUCUAAGUUUUGUUGUUUAAUAUGCUGUUAAAUUUUCUUAUUUUAUUAAUAUGCAGCAAAACAAAACAUAUUUAUUACCAAAAAAAAGUGUCUAAUAUGUGUUUGACACCAAUAAAAGGUGGGUUGGACAUAGAUAUCAGACAUUUUUCAUUUUUAUUACUUUGCUGUAGAUGCAUGUUGGGCAUAUGUAUGUGUCAGGCAAGCAACCGAUACUGCAUUUUUUGUUGGGGUGUGUCUGUACUUAAUAGAUCAUUUACCUUUAUAUUGUCCCUACUUGUGUCAUUGUAAUCGCAUCUUGUUUUGUCCUUAAUUUUUGUUUUUUAAUUGAAUAUAUCAUUCAUUUACAUUGUGUGCAUCUAUUGCUUGGGCAAGUUGAAACUGGUAUCCUGAAUAUGACCCUAGAGCCAAGACCAACUUCUCUUGCAUGUUUCAAGUUCAUUUAUUUUGUAAAUGUGAUACAAGCUUGCAGUGUAUGGUGCUUCAGGGUUUUGGUUUGGCAUCAAAAAGCUUGCUUGUUUUCGAAACAGUUAUAUACUCAAUCAAAUAAUAAUAUACUAAUAAGUUUUAUUUUAUCAGCUUCCAGAUGGAAGGGUGAUAAAAGUAGGCACUGAGCGGUUCCAGGCACCUGAGGCUCUUUUUACACCAGAACUUAUAGAUGUUGAAGGUGAUGGAAUGGCUGAUAUGGUUUUUCGCUGCAUCCAGGAAAUGGAUAUUGACAACCGAAUGAU
RNAcentral lists this unclassified non-coding RNA (1164 nucleotides) under Hevea brasiliensis (rubber tree). The record is from RNAcentral. Lineage: Eukaryota; Viridiplantae; Streptophyta; Magnoliopsida; Malpighiales; Euphorbiaceae.